RNAcentral lists this long non-coding RNA (1566 nucleotides) under Capsicum annuum. Its description in RNAcentral is "long non-coding RNA (CANN_LNC017222)". Lineage: Eukaryota; Viridiplantae; Streptophyta; Magnoliopsida; Solanales; Solanaceae. The record is from RNAcentral.
GGCAACAUGUACUAUAUAUGAGAUAAAAACUCAAAUGAAACCAUGUACUGUUGUAGGGUAAAAGACCACCUUUAUGAAUAUUGUGGAGUCAUGUAACUUAUAACAAUUAUGUUACUUUACUUUUAUUGCUUGUAUAAUCUGUGCACAACAUGUAAUACAGAUGACCAGCUGAUCAGUGGUAAAUCUAUAUCAGGAUCGACCCAUGCUAGGCUUUCCUUUCACCCCUGGGAUACCCCCUGUAAUACUGGGAUUGACCCAUGCUAGGUGAUUCUUUCACCCCUGGGAUACCACCCAUCAGAAGCAACUGUAUACAUAUAUCUUCUUAUUACUUUUGAGAUGAAUCUUUGGUGGUCGUAACAUUUGAGCUAUAAGACUAUAAGCAUGACAAAUGACAAGUAUGUGUCCAUGUAACAUCAUAUCAUAAUGAAAAGAGUGGGUUGUACAAUUAGUGAAACAUGUAGGACAUAAACAACGUAUGAACUUUAUUUAGCUAAAAAGAAGACUCAUAUGUCAUGGUACCCAAUGUAUGUAUGCAGCAGUGACAAUGCUCGAAUCUGGACACACAAGUACAUGUUAAAGAGUGGAGUGGUUAUGUCGAAGUUUGUAAAGAUCUCUAUGUGCCAAUGAAGACUUUGGAUUCCAUGCCAAAUAAUAAGAGAUCGAAUAGCCUUACAUACCUCGACAUAUCAACUUGUUUUUACGUCGAAAUGACUUCUUUUCUUCCAACUAUUUAUCUACAAUAUCAUGUUUUAAAGCUAGUAUUAGCAGCUAAUCAAUGCAUCUGGACAGCCCAAUCUCACAAGACACAACACUUUGGCAACAAACGUAUAACCAUCAACUCAAUGGUGUUAUUCCGACUUUCUCAAUUCUAACUGUAUUCAACCAGCAUAGAUUAUCAUAUACAUGAUGUAUACAGCCUAUAUUAGUUCUAUAACAUGCUGGCAACAGUCCAUAACUACAACACAUAACCAUUUUACAAAACGCUCAACUAAGAAGCACAACAUCUCGUCGUCUCCCUACAUUUCGUCGUUAACAAUUCAUACUUGUCCCAACUUUGAACCAGAUGCUCCCAACAUAUAUAUACAUCAAAUAAACCUUAACAUAGUCACAAAAUAGCUCAAAACGUAGGGGAAACGUGAAACAACAUCCCCCUCAACAAAACAGUCCAAUACCAGUUUGGAAGCACAUAAGAUCAUAUAAGGAUACUUGUUUCCAAAGAACUAGCAAAACAGUCCAGCAACCUUGGCAACCAUAUACACACUAUAACAUGUUAAUAACCUCAACUUUACAUCAUAUUAAAGUGAAAAAUCAGGGUAAAAAUCGUUCCAAAGCCAAGAAAACCAAACAACAACUUUCAGGACACAAGCUGUCCAGAAAUUCCUGCACAGUGAACCAGCCAACUUAUCUUGUUUUCCAUGGAAAAUUCAUAUCAAGUAUAUGGUUAUUUUUACAUACCUUAACUCCCAAGGUGUAGGUCUAAUUCAAGAACUCAAAAAGUAGCCUUUGGUUGCCUUCCAAGGUGAAGAAAUACCAAGAGAAACUUAGAGAGAAAUUCUGAAAUUUUUU